Long non-coding RNA from Cloeon dipterum, 954 nucleotides. RefSeq lists it as uncharacterized. The transcript has 3 exons. NCBI's taxonomy places the organism in Eukaryota, Metazoa, Arthropoda, Insecta, Ephemeroptera, Baetidae. The record is from RefSeq and is a predicted model, not a curated record.
AUUUUAAAGUGUCAUAAUACAUUAAUUAUUCUAAAAAUUAUUAUAUGCUUUGUUUUAGGUGAGGUAUUCUAAGCAUUGUCUGGUCGAUAUAUAGAGGCAGGAACCACCCCGCUGUGUGAAAAUGUCGUCAAUGCCCACAGUAACUGACCAUAGAGGUAUGCGAUAAUUCAUGGGGAUCAUGGAUCGAUUUGUUAGUGAAAGAUACCGCAGACGUCGAGAUGCCCGUAUUAGUUUUUAUGAUGAGAUGAUUCAUAUACGACUAGAAGUAAUAGCGCAUCUAGAAAGUGGUGGAAGUCCACAACUUGGUGAACUAGUAUUUCUCGACGAGGAUAUUGAAAUCACAUCGGAUCCAGAUUUGGAAACCAUUUUAACCGAUGAUGAACGUGAUGUCAAUGAACCGGAGGUAGAAGAACUUCAGCAGAAUAAUCUUAUUACCGCCAAUAAAGUCGACAAAGCAGAGGAAUGCGCCAUCUGUCUUAUGCCCGCCGAGCUUCCCGUCCGAAUGCCUUGCAGCCACGAAUUUUGUUUCACCUGUGCUAAAGGCCUGAUGAAGGAUCAAAAAAGGUCCUGCGCUUUGUGCAGAAAACCUAUUCCUCCAAAUUUUAUCACGAAUCCAGAAACGUUCGCCACUGGAGCCGUUGAAGCGCCAAUGGGCAAGCACUCUUGGUUCUACAAAAGUCGAUCUGGCUGGUGGGCAUACGCGCCAAGGAUGCAGAUUGAUAUUGAGAACGAGUUUCUAAGUGGAAAAUCAACAUUUGAAUGCAUUCUCAACGGCCAGAAGUACAUUUUGGAUUUUGUAAAAUCCAUUCAGACAUUUGGAAUGCAGAAGACCCAACAUAUCAAGAGAAGUUUGAGCAAGAGCAGUCAUAUAGGAGUGGCUGGUCUCAGAUACACUGUGCCUUCUUAACGCACAGUAAUUUUCUGAUAUUGUUUCGAAAAUUGUACAUUGUUUUA